UGGGGAAUUUUGCACAAUGGGGGAAACCCUGAUGCAGCGACGCCGCGUGAUUUAGAAGGCCUUCGGGUUGUAAAAAUCUUUUCUCUGGGAAGAAAAUGACAGUACCAUAGGAAUAAGGACCGGCUAAUUACGUGCCAGCAGCUGCGGUAAUACGUAAGGUCCGAGCGUUGUCCGGAAUCAUUGGGCGUAAAGGGUACGUAGGCGGGUAAGCAAGUUAGAAGUGAAAUCCUAUAGCUCAACUAUAGUAAGCUUUUAAAACUGCUCAUCUUGAGGUAUGGAAAGGAAAGUAGAAUUCCUAGUGUAGCGGUGAAAUGCGCAGAUAUUAGGAGGAAUACCGGUGGCGAAGGCGACUUUCUGGCCAUAACCUGACGCUGAGGUACGAAAGCGUGGGUAGCAAACAGG
This 402-nucleotide ribosomal RNA is filed under the name bacterium. Its description in RNAcentral is "partial 16S ribosomal RNA". It matches the Rfam family "Bacterial small subunit ribosomal RNA", at positions 355 to 776 of the family's 1533-position model. The record is from RNAcentral.